This 125-nucleotide small RNA is filed under the name Marmota monax (woodchuck). Lineage: Eukaryota; Metazoa; Chordata; Mammalia; Rodentia; Sciuridae. The record is from RNAcentral.
AUCUCUUCUCAGCAUUUUGGCUAAGAUCAAGUGUGGAAUCUUUCUUUCCUCAUUAGACAUGAUGAAUAGGAAUUAUGCACUCUCUUUAGAAAAUAUAUUUCUUGUGGUCAAUGGAAAAAAUCUUA